This 577-nucleotide ribosomal RNA is filed under the name Escherichia coli. Its description in RNAcentral is "partial 23S ribosomal RNA". It matches the Rfam family "Bacterial large subunit ribosomal RNA", at positions 451 to 1029 of the family's 2925-position model. Lineage: Bacteria; Pseudomonadati; Pseudomonadota; Gammaproteobacteria; Enterobacterales; Enterobacteriaceae. The record is from RNAcentral.
GACCAUCCUCCAAGGCUAAAUACUCCUGACUGACCGAUAGUGAACCAGUACCGUGAGGGAAAGGCGAAAAGAACCCCGGCGAGGGGAGUGAAAAAGAACCUGAAACCGUGUACGUACAAGCAGUGGGAGCCUCUUUAUGGGGUGACUGCGUACCUUUUGUAUAAUGGGUCAGCGACUUAUAUUCUGUAGCAAGGUUAACCGAAUAGGGGAGCCGAAGGGAAACCGAGUCUUAACUGGGCGUUAAGUUGCAGGGUAUAGACCCGAAACCCGGUGAUCUAGCCAUGGGCAGGUUGAAGGUUGGGUAACACUAACUGGAGGACCGAACCGACUAAUGUUGAAAAAUUAGCGGAUGACUUGUGGCUGGGGGUGAAAGGCCAAUCAAACCGGGAGAUAGCUGGUUCUCCCCGAAAGCUAUUUAGGUAGCGCCUCGUGAAUUCAUCUCCGGGGGUAGAGCACUGUUUCGGCAAGGGGGUCAUCCCGACUUACCAACCCGAUGCAAACUGCGAAUACCGGAGAAUGUUAUCACGGGAGACACACGGCGGGUGCUAACGUCCGUCGUGAAGAGGGAAACAACCCA